GUCCACGCUGUAAACGAUGAACACUUGGUGUGGUGGGAGUUGACCCUGCCGUGCCGGAGCUAACGCGUUAAGUGUUCCGCCUGGGAGUACGGUCGCAAGGCUGAACUCAAGGAAUUGACGGGCCCGCACAAGCGGUGGAGCAUGUGGUUUAAUUCGACGCAACGCGAAGAACCUUACCUGGGCUUGAACUGCAAUGGACCGCGGCAGAGAUGUCGUUUUCGCAAGAACUGUUGCAGAGGUGCUGCAUGGCUGUCGU
RNAcentral lists this ribosomal RNA (256 nucleotides) under uncultured bacterium. Its description in RNAcentral is "partial 16S ribosomal RNA". It matches the Rfam family "Bacterial small subunit ribosomal RNA", at positions 793 to 1055 of the family's 1533-position model. The record is from RNAcentral.